Molecule: ribosomal RNA, 649 nt
Filed under: uncultured archaeon
Lineage: Archaea
Description: bacterial SSU rRNA
Rfam family: Archaeal small subunit ribosomal RNA
Source: RNAcentral
GGAUAACCUACCCUUAGGACCGGGAUAACCUUGGGAAACUGAGGAUAAUACUGGAUAGGCAAUUUUUCCUGUAAUGGUUUUUUGUUUAAAUGUUUUUUCGCCUAAGGAUGGGUCUGCGGCCGAUUAGGUAGUUGGUUAGGUAAUGGCUUACCAAGCCGUUGAUCGGUACGGGUUGUGAGAGCAAGAGCCCGGAGAUGGAACCUGAGACAAGGUUCCAGGCCCUACGGGGUGCAGCAGGCGCGAAACCUCCGCAAUGUGAGAAAUCGCGACGGGGGGAUCCCAAGUGCCAUUCUUAACGGGAUGGCUUUUCAUUAGUGUAAAGAGCUUUUGGAAUAAGAGCUGGGCAAGACCGGUGCCAGCCGCCGCGGUAACACCGGCAGCUCUAGUGGUAACAAUUUUUAUUGGGCCUAAAGCGUCCGUAGCCGGUUUAAUAAGUCUCUGGUGAAAUCCUGUAGCUUAACUGUGGGAAUUGCUGGAGAUACUAUUAGACUUGAGACCGGGAGAGGUUAGAGGUACUCCCAGGGUAGAGGUGAAAUUCUGUAAUCCUGGGAGGACCGCCUGUUGCGAAGGCGUCUAACUGGAACGGUUCUGACGGUGAGGGACGAAAGUUAGGGGCGCGAACCGGAUUAGAUACCCGGGUAGUCCUAAC